Molecule: ribosomal RNA, 627 nt
Filed under: uncultured Verrucomicrobiota bacterium
Lineage: Bacteria; Pseudomonadati; Verrucomicrobiota
Description: bacterial SSU rRNA
Rfam family: Bacterial small subunit ribosomal RNA
Source: RNAcentral
UAGCAAUAUUCUGUAGUCGGAGCGGCGCAAGGGUGCGUAACACGUGGGUAAUCUGCCAUGAAGUUUGGGAUAACUCGCUGAAAGGCGAGCUAAUACCGGAUGUGAAGAUUGGAAGGCAUCUUUUGAUCUUCAAAGCUGGGGACCGUAAGGCCUGGCGCUUCAUGAUGAGCCCGCGGCCUAUCAGCUAGUUGGUGAGGUAACGGCUCACCAAGACUAAGACGGGUAGCUGGUCUGAGAGGACGACCAGCCACACUGGAACUGAGACACGGUCCAGACACCUACGGGUGGCAGCAGUCGAGAAUUUUUCACAAUGGGGGAAACCCUGAUGGAGCGACGCCGCGUGGGGGAUGAAUGGCUUCGGCCCGUAAACCCCUGUCAUUCGCGAACAAUGCCUGUGGUCUAAUAAAUCACAGGUUGAUAGUAGCGGAAGAGGAAGGGACGGCUAACUCUGUGCCAGCAGCCGCGGUAAUACAGAGGUCCCAAGCGUUGUUCGGAUUCACUGGGCGUAAAGGGUGCGUAGGCGGUCGGGUAAGUCUGAUGUGAAAAUCUCACAGCUUAACUGUGAAACUGCAUUGGAUACUAUUCGGCUUGAGGUCUGGAGGGGGGACUGGAAUUCACGGUGUAGCA